AAGAAAAUCCGUUGGCUUUAUAGUAGACCGUGAGGGUUCGAGUCCCUCUACCCCCA
RNAcentral lists this transfer RNA (56 nucleotides) under Sphagnum palustre. RNAcentral's name for it is "partial tRNA-Leu". Lineage: Eukaryota; Viridiplantae; Streptophyta; Sphagnopsida; Sphagnales; Sphagnaceae. The record is from RNAcentral. RNAcentral also lists the same sequence under 20 other names.